AUGGACAUUAUUUACACCUUUCAGCCGUCCCCCAUCUUUGUUCUCAACGUUGUCACCAACUCCACGGUAACGUGCCAAAUCCGAUGCGAUGGGUCGGGUCCCGGCCGCACGUGUGGGCCGUGGACUCGUCUACGGUCACACCGUCGCCACGUCCCUGUCCGCCCCCUCGUGCUCCUUGCUGACCUGUACGACGACGACGAGUUCAUCACCGUGCUGCUGCGCGACGUCUCGUCGUCGUCGUCGCCAUCGAGCGCGACGGGCAUCGCGGGCCACAUGAACGCCGGCUUCGACGGCGGGACGUGCGGCGGCGGGGCGGCGCCCGUCAGGAUCUGCAGGAUGGCCUGCGUCCUCGGCCGCUCCCCGGGGUUCGGGUGGCUGCACGCGAGGCCCAGCAGCAGGAGCCGCUCGGCCUCGGCCUCGUCGAACUCGCCGGCGAGCCUCUGGUCGACGGCCUCGAGGAUGCGGCCGCCGCCGCCCGCCGCGCCGUGGAGCUUCCACACGGCCUCCAGCAGCUGGCUGCACCCGGCGGGGUUGCUGCAGGAGAUGCGGCGGCCGCAGACGAUCUCCAGGAUGACGGCGCCGAAGCCGAACACGUCCGACUCCCGCGUCGCGCGGCCGGUGUGGAAGCACUCCGGCGCGAUGUACCCCAGCGUCCCCGGGACGCCGAUGAUGUCGGUGUACGACGUCUUGUCGGACUCGAGCGCGCGGGCGAGGCCGAAGUCGCCGAGCCGCGCGUUGAAGGCGGAGUCGAGCAUGACGUUGGACGGCUUGAUGUCGCGGUGGAUCACCAUCUGGUCGUACUCGUGGUGGAGGUAGUUCAGCGCCG
RNAcentral lists this long non-coding RNA (826 nucleotides) under Oryza sativa Indica Group (long-grained rice). RNAcentral's name for it is "lncRNA OsMH63_02G031230". Lineage: Eukaryota; Viridiplantae; Streptophyta; Magnoliopsida; Poales; Poaceae. The record is from RNAcentral.